Small nuclear RNA from Mustela putorius furo (domestic ferret), 104 nucleotides. NCBI's taxonomy places the organism in Eukaryota, Metazoa, Chordata, Mammalia, Carnivora, Mustelidae. The record is from Ensembl.
GUGCUUGCUUCAGCAGCACAUAUACUAAAAUUGGAAAGAUACACAGAUUAGCAUGGCCUCUGAACAAGGAUGAUAUGCAAAUUUGUGAAGCAUUCCAUAUUAAA